Molecule: long non-coding RNA, 958 nt
Organism: Sceloporus undulatus (fence lizard)
Lineage: Eukaryota; Metazoa; Chordata; Lepidosauria; Squamata; Phrynosomatidae
Exons: 3
Source: RefSeq, a predicted model, not a curated record
GCUUUAAAGAAUUCAGAAGUGGCCCACAGUUUGAAACAGCUAUGCUUCUGAUUAUAUGAUCCCAGGAUGGAUCGCAGAUAUUGAAAAAUCAGGUCCACUGCUACACCCAGAUCGACUGACUUUACAAAAGCUCAUACUACCAGCUUCUUUCUGUCAUUUAGUUUCAAAGAAUAUCUAAUUGCUGCAAUAACUACACAGCCCAAGGAACACUGCCAUGGGAUCUCUCCACACAAGUCAGAAAAGCAAGAGGAGACAAUACAUCACCACACAGGAUAAAGCAGCAAGGCAAGGCAGCUAUCAGGAUGAGGCUAUCAUCAGCUUCCUCAGUGGGAUGAAAGUAAUGUUGAAACGAGCCCUACAAUUAGAACUAUGAACAAAAGAGAGUUUGAAAAAGAUAAAACAAUCCUCAUGCUUAGAUGUUGAUCUGUGAUGCUUCUUUUCUCUUUGUGGAUCCCUGUAUUUGCAAUCUAUACCUCAACAAGCAAACAAUCCACUGGGUAAAGAAAAAAAAAAGGGUCUCAGGAAUGAAGUGAACCUCCUUCUGAUUUAAAUAUGCACACCAUGCUUUGGCUACAUAAAAUUAUUUCCAAAGAGCAAAAGGAGCAAUUUAUACUUGUCUUAUUAGGGUACCAGUCCAAAUUCAGCAUUGGUAGUAUGAUUACUGAAUAACAGUAUGGAGUGGGAAUCAAGGGACCUCCUGCCGCCCUUCUUGCCACCCAGGAAAAUCCAGUUAAUUCUAAUCCAUGUUCUUAAUUGUAGUCUUCCUUUAAACAUCACUAGUUUGAUUAAAUUAACUAAAUCAGAUUACAAGCAUCUCCUGGCCUAGUUCAUUUCACUCCUAAAUAAACCUCUGAUAAAGAGGCCUUACAGUAUUAUCUCCACCCUACCCCAUCCCCAUCUUUUAUAUGCCAGGUAAGUGUUUGUUCCAUUUGCAUUAUUUCAAAACGUAUUAAACACA